Molecule: ribosomal RNA, 835 nt
Filed under: Panorpodes paradoxus
Lineage: Eukaryota; Metazoa; Arthropoda; Insecta; Mecoptera; Panorpodidae
Description: partial 16S rRNA
Source: RNAcentral
AAUACCGCGGCCCUUUAAAAUUUAUCAGUGGGCAGAUUAGACUUUAAAUUAUAUUCAAAAAGACAUGUUUUUGUUAAACAGGCGAGUAUUUAUUUGCCAAGUUCCUUAAUUUAACCUUUCAAUUUAUUUAUUUUAAACAAUUAAAAUAUACUAAUUUUAUCAUUAUUUUAAUUCUUAUAUAAUUUUAAAAAUUAUUUUAAUAAAAACUUAAAUCAAUAAAAAUUAUUUUUAAUUUAAAAUAAAUUAUAACAUUUUUAUAAUUAAUGACUAUUUCUAAAUCUAUAAUUUUUAAAUUAAAAAAUUAUUAUAAAACUUAUUUUAAAGCUUAUCCCUUAAAAUAUUAAUUAUUAAUAAUAACUUAUUAUUUAAAUAAAUAAUUAUUUACUAAUAAUCUAAAUUUAAUUUAUUUCUUAAAAAACUAGAUAUAUUCAAGAACGAAUAACAUUUCAUUUCUAAUUUAUUAUUUUAAAUUUUUAUGAAACAAAAAAUUAAUUAAUAAAUUAACUCUCUUAAAUUCGAGAAAAAUUAAAUUUUUAACUUUUAAUUAAUAAACCCUGAUACACAAGGUACAACAUAUAAAAUUUACUUUUAAUUUAAAACUUUUUCAUGUAUUUCAAUAUUCUUUUACAAUACUAAUUAACUAUUAUAUAAAUUAUUUGAUCUAUAUAUUAUACAAAAAAAACUUAACUUAAAAUUAAUUUUAUUAAAUAAAUUUUUAAAUAAAAAAAAUUAAUAAAUUUUUAUUAUCAAAUUAAAUUGAAUCACACAAUAUACUUUUCAAUGUAAAUGAAAUGCUUCUUUUCAAGCUCUAAUCUGUCUUUCUAGAUACACCUUC